Molecule: ribosomal RNA, 338 nt
Filed under: uncultured Jenufa
Lineage: Eukaryota; Viridiplantae; Chlorophyta; Chlorophyceae
Description: bacterial SSU rRNA
Rfam family: Eukaryotic small subunit ribosomal RNA
Source: RNAcentral
GCGCGCUACACUGAUGCAUUCAACGAGCCUGCGCCUGGGCCGAGAGGCCCGGGUAAUCUCCGAAGCUGCAUCGUGAUGGGGAUAGAUUAUUGCAAUUAUUAGUCUUCAACGAGGAAUGCCUAGUAAGCGCGAGUCAUCAGCUCGCGUUGAUUACGUCCCUGCCCUUUGUACACACCGCCCGUCGCUCCUACCGAUUGGGUGUGCUGGUGAAGUGGUCGGAUUGGCCGGGUUGGGUGGUCUUGUGCCACCCUCCCGGCCGAGAAGUCCAUUGAACCCUCCCACCUAGAGGAAGGAGAAGUCGUAACAAGGUUUCCGUAGGUGAACCUGCGGAAGGAUCA